AGGGGUUUAGGUUGAUACUAAACCAAGAGCCUUCAAAGCCCUAAACAAAGGUGAAAGCCCUUUAACCCCUG
Molecule: transfer RNA, 71 nt
Filed under: Trachyrhamphus serratus
Lineage: Eukaryota; Metazoa; Chordata; Actinopteri; Syngnathiformes; Syngnathidae
Description: tRNA-Trp
Rfam family: tRNA
About the family: Transfer RNA (tRNA) molecules are approximately 80 nucleotides in length.
Source: RNAcentral